UACGUAGGCAGCAAGCGUUGUUCGGAGUUACUGGGCGUAAAGGGUGCGUAGGCGGUUUUCUAAGUCUGGUGUGAAAUCUCCCGGCUCAACUGGGAGGGUGCGCUAGAAACUGGGAGGCUAGAGUGUGGGAGAGGAGAGUGGAAUUCCUGGUGUAGCGGUGAAAUGCGUAGAUAUCAGGAGGAACACCGGUGGUGUAGACGGCUCUCUGGACCAUUACUGACGCUGAGGCACGAAAGCGUGGGUAGCAAACAGG
This 253-nucleotide ribosomal RNA is filed under the name uncultured bacterium. RNAcentral's name for it is "partial 16S ribosomal RNA". It matches the Rfam family "Bacterial small subunit ribosomal RNA", at positions 524 to 776 of the family's 1533-position model. The record is from RNAcentral.